CCUACGGGGGACAGCAGUGAGGAAUAUUGGUCAAUGGGCGCAAGCCUGAACCAGCCAAGUCGCGUGAGGGAUGACGGUCCUAUGGAUUGUAAACCUCUUUUGUCGGGGAGCAAGGCCCGCCACGUGUGGCGGGAAGGAGAGUACCCGAAGAAAAAGCAUCGGCUAACUCCGUGCCAGCAGCCGGGGUAAUACGGAGGAUGCGAGCGUUAUCCGGAUUUAUUGGGUUUAAAGGGUGCGUAGGCGGAAGGUUAAGUCAGCGGUAAAAUGUCGGUGCUCAACACCGGCCUGCCGUUGAAACUGGUCUUCUUGAGUGAGCUAGAAGUAUGCGGAAUGCGUGGUGUAGCGGUGAAAUGCAUAGAUAUCACGCAGAACUCCGAUUGCGAAGGCAGCAUACCGGCGCGCAACUGACGCUGAGGCACGAAAGCGUGGGGAUCGAACAGGAUUAGAUACCCCAGUAGUC
RNAcentral lists this ribosomal RNA (460 nucleotides) under uncultured bacterium. RNAcentral describes it as "partial 16S ribosomal RNA". It matches the Rfam family "Bacterial small subunit ribosomal RNA", at positions 338 to 795 of the family's 1533-position model. The record is from RNAcentral.